ACCUUCCUCACUGGAGAGAGGUCCACCCCGUGUGGAUCCACCGAAGGGGCAAACCGCGCAGGCGGCGAAUCUCUCAGGUAAAGCGGACAGCGAGGCAGCC
Pseudorhodoferax sp. Leaf267 is the source of this 100-nucleotide regulatory RNA element. It matches the Rfam family "Glycine riboswitch aptamer". Rfam says of the family: This family represents the bacterial glycine riboswitch. The record is from Rfam. NCBI's taxonomy places the organism in Bacteria, Pseudomonadati, Pseudomonadota, Betaproteobacteria, Burkholderiales, Comamonadaceae.